Molecule: ribosomal RNA, 196 nt
Filed under: uncultured Veillonellaceae bacterium
Lineage: Bacteria; Bacillati; Bacillota; Negativicutes; Veillonellales; Veillonellaceae
Description: partial 16S ribosomal RNA
Rfam family: Bacterial small subunit ribosomal RNA
Source: RNAcentral
AAACGACUGCUAAUACCGCAUACGAUCCAAUCUCGGCAUCGAGGAUGGAUGAAAGGUGGCCUCUAUUUAUAAGCUAUCACUGAAGGAGGGGAUUGCGUCUGAUUAGCUAGUUGGAGGGGUAACGGCCCACCAAGGCGAUGAUCAGUAGCCGGUCUGAGAGGAUGAACGGCCACAUUGGGACUGAGACACGGCCCAG